GAAUAUUGGACAAUGGGCGAAAGCCUGAUCCAGCCAUGCCGCGUGUGUGAAGAAGGUCUUCGGAUUGUAAAGCACUUUAAGCUGGGAGGAAGGGCAGUAAGUUAAUACCUUGCUGUUUUGACGUUACCAGCCGAAUAAGCACCGGCUCACUUCGUGCCAGCAGCCGCGGUAAUACGAAGGUUGCAAGCGUUAAUCGGAAUUAAUGGGCGUAAAGCGCGCGUAGGUGGUUCAGCAAGUUGGAUGUGAAAGCCCCGGGCUCAACCUGCGAACUGCAUCCAAAACUACUGGGCUAGAGUAUGGUAGAGGGUGGUGGAAUUUCCUGUGUAGCGGUGAAAUGCGUAGAUAUAGGAAGGAACACCAGUGGCGAAGGCGACCACCUGGACUAAUACUGACACUGAGGUGCGAAAGCGUGGGGAGCAAACAGG
This 425-nucleotide ribosomal RNA is filed under the name uncultured bacterium. Its description in RNAcentral is "bacterial SSU rRNA". It matches the Rfam family "Bacterial small subunit ribosomal RNA", at positions 359 to 776 of the family's 1533-position model. The record is from RNAcentral.